This 253-nucleotide ribosomal RNA is filed under the name uncultured prokaryote. RNAcentral's name for it is "partial 16S ribosomal RNA". It matches the Rfam family "Bacterial small subunit ribosomal RNA", at positions 524 to 776 of the family's 1533-position model. The record is from RNAcentral.
UACAGAGGUCUCGAGCGUUGUUCGGAUUCAUUGGGCGUAAAGGGUGCGUAGGUGGCAUGGUAAGUCGGGUGUGAAAUCUCAGGGCUCAACCCUGAAACUGCACUCGAUACUGCCGUGCUCGAGCACUGGAGAGGAGACUGGAAUUUACGGUGUAGCAGUGAAAUGCGUAGAUAUCGUAAGGAAGACCGGUGGCGAAAGCUAGUCUCUGGACAGUCGCUGACACUGAGGCACGAAGGCCAGGGGAGCAAACGGG